AUUGAACGCUGGCGGCAGGCCUAACACAUGCAAGUCGAGCGGAUGAAGGGAGCUUGCUCCUGGAUUCAGCGGCGGACGGGUGAGUAAUGCCUAGGAAUCUGCCUGGUAGUGGGGGAUAACGUCCGGAAACGGGCGCUAAUACCGCAUACGUCCUGAGGGAGAAAGUGGGGGAUCUUCGGACCUCACGCUAUCAGAUGAGCCUAGGUCGGAUUAGCUAGUUGGUGGGGUAAAGGCCUACCAAGGCGACGAUCCGUAACUGGUCUGAGAGGAUGAUCAGUCACACUGGAACUGAGACACGGUCCAGACUCCUACGGGAGGCAGCAGUGGGGAAUAGUGGACAAUGGGCGAAAGCCUGAUACAGCCAUGCCGCGUGUGUGAAGAAGGUCUUCGGAUUGUAAAGCACUUUAAGUUGGGAGGAAGGGCAGUAAGUUAAUACCUUGCUGUUUUGACGUUACCAACAGAAUAAGCACCGGCUAACUUCGUG
Molecule: ribosomal RNA, 484 nt
Filed under: uncultured bacterium
Lineage: Bacteria
Description: partial 16S ribosomal RNA
Rfam family: Bacterial small subunit ribosomal RNA
Source: RNAcentral